UGUAGGCAUGAGUAACGAUAAGAAAGGCGAGAAACCUUUCCGCCGAUAGUCUAAGGUUUCCUGAACAACAAUAAUCGGUUCAGGGUCGGUCGGGUCCUAAGGCGAAGCCGAACGGCGUAGUCGAUGGAUAACUGGUUAAUAUUCCAGUACCUGUUCUGCUGCGAUGGGGUGACGAAGAAGUGAAAGCGCGGCGCACAUACGGAAUUGUGCGUUGAAGGUCGUAGGUAUAUCUUUGGUUGGCAAAUCCGCCAGAGAUGCUGAAAGCUGAUAGUAUGCUGAGUCGCAAGACAAGGCAAUAAGCGUGUAAUCCUGCUUCCAAGAAAAACCCCUAAGCUCCAGGCAUGAACAGCCCGUACCGCAAACCGACACAGGUAGACAAGUAGAAUAUACUAAGGCGCUCGAGUGAUCCGUGGCUAAGGAACUAGGCAAAUUAACCCCGUAACUUCGGGAAAAGGGGUACCCUACGCAAGUAGGGUCGCAGAGAAAUGGCGGUGGCGACUGUUUAUCAAAAACACAGGGCUAUGCGAAAACGAAAGUUGAUGUAUAUGGCCUGAAACCUGCCCGGUGCCGGAAGGUUAAGAGGAGAGGUUAGGAGCAAUCCAAAGCUUUGAAUCGAAGCCCCGGUAAACGGCGGCCGUAACAAUAACGGUCCUAAGGUAGCGAAAUUCCUUGUCGGGUAAGUUCCGACCUGCACGAAUGGUUUAACGAUCUCCGCUCUGUCUCAGCCACGAGCUCGGUGAAAUUGUGGUAUCAGUGAAGACGCUGAUUACCCGUCACGGGACGGAAAGACCCCAUGCACCUUUACUAUAGCUUAGCAUUGACUUCGGGUAAAUGAUGUGUAGCAUAGCUGGGAGGCUUUGAAGCAGUGGCGCCAGCCAUUGUGGAGCCAACACUGAAAUACCAGCCUUUAUUUAUUUGGAGUCUAACUCUUGCAAAAGAGGACAUUGCUUGGUGGGUAGUUUGACUGGGGUGGUCGCCUCCGAAAGGGUAUCGGAGGCUUUCAAAGGUUUUCUCAGUACGCUUGGUAACCGUACGUAGAGUGCAAUAGCAUAAGAAAGCUUGACUGUGAGGCCGACAAGCCGAGCAGGAUCGAAAGAUGGAUAUAGUGAUCCGGUGGUUCCGUAUGGAAGGGCCAUCGCCCAUAGGAUAAAAGGUACGCUGGGAUAACAGGCUGAUCCCUCCCAGGAGCUCACAUCGACGGGGGGGUUUGGCACCUCGAUGUCGGCUCGUCACAUCCUGGGGCUGGAGAAGGUCCCAAGGGUUCGGCUGUUCGCCGAUUAAAGUGGCACGCGAGCUGGGUUCAGAACGUCGUGAGACAGUUCGGUCCCUAUCUGUGAUGGGCGUUGGAAAAUUGAGGGGCGCUGACUCUAGUACGAGAGGACCGAGUCGGACGUACCGCUAGUGUACCUGUUGUUUCGCCAGAGGCACCGCAGGGUAGCUAUGUACGGAUGAGAUAAGCGCUGAAAGCAUCUAAGUGCGAAACUCACCUCAAGAUAAGUUUUCCUUUAAGGACCGUAGAAGACUACUACGUUGAUAGGCGACAGGUGUAAAGACAGUAAUGUCAAAGCCGAGUCGUACUAAUGGUCC
RNAcentral lists this ribosomal RNA (1587 nucleotides) under metagenome. Its description in RNAcentral is "bacterial LSU rRNA". It matches the Rfam family "Bacterial large subunit ribosomal RNA", at positions 1295 to 2910 of the family's 2925-position model. The record is from RNAcentral.